RNAcentral lists this ribosomal RNA (255 nucleotides) under uncultured bacterium. RNAcentral describes it as "partial 16S ribosomal RNA". It matches the Rfam family "Bacterial small subunit ribosomal RNA", at positions 524 to 776 of the family's 1533-position model. The record is from RNAcentral.
UACGUAGGGGGCUAGCGUUGUCCGGAUUUAUUGGGCGUAAAGAGCGCGUAGGCGGCCUGGUAGGUCUGCUGUGAAAACUCGAGGCUCAACCUCGAGAUGUCGGCGGAAACCAUCUGGCUAGAGUCCGGAAGAGGAGAGUGGAAUUCCUGGUGUAGCGGUGAAAUGCGCAGAUAUCAGGAAGAACACCUAUGGCGAAGGCAGCUCUCUGGGACGGUACUGACGCUGAGACGCGAAAAGCGUGGGGGAGCGAACAGG